GGAGGGUAAGUCUGGUGCCAGCAGCCGCGGUAAUUCCAGCUCCAAUAGCGUAUAUUAAAGUUGUUGCAGUUAAAAAGCUCGUAGUUGAAUUUCGGGGUUAGUAGGUUGGUCAUGCCUCUGGUAUGUACUGAUCUCACUGAUUCCUCCUUCCUUAUGAACCGUAAUGCCAUUAAUUUGGUGUUGCGGGGAAUUUGGACUGUUACUUUGAAAAAAUUAGAGUGUUUAAAGCAGGC
Molecule: ribosomal RNA, 233 nt
Filed under: uncultured Glomus
Lineage: Eukaryota; Fungi; Glomeromycota; Glomeromycetes; Glomerales; Glomeraceae
Description: partial 18S ribosomal RNA
Rfam family: Eukaryotic small subunit ribosomal RNA
Source: RNAcentral